This is a long non-coding RNA of Hevea brasiliensis (rubber tree), 518 nucleotides long. RefSeq lists it as uncharacterized. The record is from RefSeq and is a predicted model, not a curated record. The transcript is spliced from 2 exons. NCBI's taxonomy places the organism in Eukaryota, Viridiplantae, Streptophyta, Magnoliopsida, Malpighiales, Euphorbiaceae.
CACAUUCUCUACUCGAUUUUGUCAUAUGUUUGUUUAUAUUUGAAAUUUUUUUACAAUAUGGGUAUGGUUGAUUUAGGAAUGGUUUUAGUUUUGGGCAUUGGCAUUUAAUUUAAUUCCCUUUGCUUUGAGAUUUAUGAAAUUUGAUAUGCCGUUUGUGAUUAUUUUUAGAUCUUUUCUUUUAGUUAUAAAAUUUUGAUGGAUUCAUUUUGAUUUUGGCUACUGCAGCUGUUGUGGGGAAAGGAAUAAGACAUGUGGGCAAUUGAUUUUUUCUUAUCCUCUGGUCAGGUAUCGGAGACACAGCUGGGAGGCUCAGCAGACGUAUGACCGGGUGAGACAUCAGAUCUGCACAGGAAUCCAGAAUCAUCUGCACUGCAUUGCAUACAUGAUAGGACUUAGGAUAUAAUGUAUUUUGUACUUUUGUUAUAUUUUUGAAAUUCGGCCUUGUAUUUUGUAAUAUUAUGAAAGUCCUAAAGUUUGUAAUAUCUUGUACAUAUUAAAUAACAUGGAGAUUUUCUGGA